Molecule: transfer RNA, 73 nt
Filed under: Thermobrachium celere DSM 8682
Lineage: Bacteria; Bacillati; Bacillota; Clostridia; Eubacteriales; Clostridiaceae
Rfam family: tRNA
About the family: Transfer RNA (tRNA) molecules are approximately 80 nucleotides in length. Their secondary structure includes four short double-helical elements and three loops (D, anti-codon, and T loops). Further hydrogen bonds mediate the characteristic L-shaped molecular structure. tRNAs have two regions of fundamental functional importance: the anti-codon, which is responsible for specific mRNA codon recognition, and the 3' end, to which the tRNAs corresponding amino acid is attached (by aminoacyl-tRNA synthetases). tRNAs cope with the degeneracy of the genetic code in two manners: having more than one tRNA (with a specific anti-codon) for a particular amino acid; and 'wobble' base-pairing, i.e. permitting non-standard base-pairing at the 3rd anti-codon position.
Source: Rfam by way of RNAcentral
AGCCACUAGCUCAGUCGGUAGAGCACAAGACUUUUAAUCUUGGUGUCCGGGGGUUCGAUUCCCCCGGUGGCUC